This 253-nucleotide ribosomal RNA is filed under the name uncultured bacterium. RNAcentral's name for it is "partial 16S ribosomal RNA". It matches the Rfam family "Bacterial small subunit ribosomal RNA", at positions 524 to 776 of the family's 1533-position model. The record is from RNAcentral.
UACGGAGGGUGCAAGCGUUAAUCGGAAUUACUGGGCGUAAAGCGCACGCAGGUGGCUGAGUCAGUCGAUUGUGAAAGCCCUGGGCUUAACCUAGGAAUUGCAGUCGAUACUACUCAGCUAGAGUAUGGGAGAGGGCAGUGGAAUUCCCGGUGUAGCGGUGAAAUGCGUAGAUAUCGGGAGGAACAUCAGUGGCGAAGGCGGCUGCCUGGCCCAAUACUGACACUCAGGUGCGAAAGCGUGGGGAGCAAACAGG